UAGCCUAGUGAUUAAGGCUAUGGAUUGCCAAUCCGGAGACGGCGGGUUCGAUUUCCGU
This is a non-coding RNA of Aedes albopictus (Asian tiger mosquito), 58 nucleotides long. Lineage: Eukaryota; Metazoa; Arthropoda; Insecta; Diptera; Culicidae. The record is from Rfam.